Molecule: transfer RNA, 76 nt
Filed under: Camelus bactrianus (Bactrian camel)
Lineage: Eukaryota; Metazoa; Chordata; Mammalia; Artiodactyla; Camelidae
Also listed under: 1 other name
Rfam family: tRNA
About the family: Transfer RNA (tRNA) molecules are approximately 80 nucleotides in length.
Source: Rfam by way of RNAcentral
GAGGGUAUAGCUCAGUGGUAGAUAGAGUGCAUGCUAAGCAUGCAUGAAGUCAUGGGUUCGAUCCCCAAUACUUCUG